This is a non-coding RNA of Rattus norvegicus (Norway rat), 1663 nucleotides long. The record is from RefSeq and is a predicted model, not a curated record. Lineage: Eukaryota; Metazoa; Chordata; Mammalia; Rodentia; Muridae.
CUGAGAACGUGACCGUUUAGAGGAGUUCAACGGUAUUUUGUCUUUUAUGUGAUACUGUUGUGAGUGUGGUGUUCAAGAUUGAACACAGGACCUCAUGCACAGCAGGUACCCUCUGUACCCUCGUUGACUGUCCUACAAGAUGAGACAUUACAGCAUCUCUAAUUUCCAAGUAUCCCCAUCUUGGUUCAAAGAAGAAACUGAGCAUCAAUGGAGUUGCUCCAGUUGUGGCAAGAUAGCCAGCCACUAUGGCCUUAAUUCAUCUACACACAAAAAUACUGCCCAGGAAAAGGACGGAAUAUGGGGAACAGUCGACCAAUAGCUCUGCCAAUACAGGAAUAAAGUUCAUUUACCCACUAUGGCUUCCAGUUCCACUGUAAUCUGGCAUUGGUCUUUUUUCUGCUUUUCACCUGAGAUUCUCUGGAUGAUAACCUGAAGCUCUUUGCUUGACAUAGUCCUUAUUUGGCUCAGUAUUGCCUGAGGCAAAGCAAUAAGGUUGAGCUUGGUCACUUUCCUAAAAAGUUAUCUGAAGAAUGGGCCAGCAUGAUAUAACCCAACAUGAAACACAUGUAAAACCUUCAUAGAGAUGAAUCCUGUGACCCCCAACUACAAGACUUUUGAUAUUUGAGCAUGAAGUGCUAUGACUGCAGGAAGAGACCUUGGAGGGAAAUUUACCAUAACGAGAAGAUCAUGAAACCGGUUAUGACUAGAUCUUGCUCAAUUUCAAAUUCUGUCGAUUACUAGUCCUGUGCUGUGGGACGGUUUGACAUUUCAGAGAUUCUGUUCUUUCGCUGUAAAGUGGAUAAAAUGGUGCCUAAUGUAGUAGAUGAUUGUGACAGCUCGGUGAUAAAGUGCCAAUUAAAUGCUUAGUGGAGUGUUUAACACGUGGCAAGUGUGCAAUAUACGCCAGGUAUCAUUUGACACUUCAUUUGCUACUUGGCUCUUGGGGCUCAACCUCAGUUUAUGACUGAGUGUGCUGCAUUAAAAACACAGGCAAAGACCAAUGGAAACUUCCUAGUGCUUGAGAAAGGACUGACACUGUGGUACAUCCUGUGACUCCAUGAGAAUUCUCAUUCUGUAUAUUUCAGAGCAUUUUCUGUAAGUCAAACGAUACCUUUUUUCUAAGCAGAGACUAUAGUAUGAUCUGUGAAUUAGUGUGUCAGAGUCAUCAAAACAUAAGGAUCUUAACUCUAUGAUUGUCUGCUUAAAGUCAACUAUACUAUCAGGAUCAUUUGUUUGCCUUUAUAGUAAUGUACCAAUAGUCAAUACACAAACAAUAAAUACCAAAUACCUGAGUAUUUAGUAUUUAUCAAUCAUUCUGCAGAUGUCUUAUUUUUAAUAACUGAAUGGAAGAAUGACUAUUUUAUUAGCCUAUUCUGAACUUAAGAUGAAGGCUAACAUGAAUGGAGUUGUCAGAUGUGUGUAAUAAGCACAUAGCAGAGUUAAUUCACACAUAUUGCAUUUCAAAGUAUAGGUUACAGCACAGAAAUCAGAGUAAUUCAAGUAUGAUGGACAUCUAUGAUGUAGAAAAGGUCAAUAAAAUAAUUUCAUUGAAAAUUUCUACUAUGAUUGGUUGUUAGAAAUAUAUAGAGAUGAAUUUCAGAAUACUAAAUAUGACUAUAUGAUAUGUGCCUCCCACUUUAUCUAAAUAAAGUUUGCUUUGUAA